Molecule: long non-coding RNA, 186 nt
Organism: Juglans microcarpa x Juglans regia
Lineage: Eukaryota; Viridiplantae; Streptophyta; Magnoliopsida; Fagales; Juglandaceae
Exons: 4
Source: RefSeq, a predicted model, not a curated record
CCUACCACGGGGGUUAAACAUGGAAUACGGCCCAACCACGGGUAUAAUGGUGAUUUAAAACCCUACCACGGGGAUGAAACAUGGUAUACGGCCCAGCCACAAGUAUAAUGGUGGUUUAUAACCCUACCACGGGGGUGAAAUAUGCUAUAUGGCCCAGCCACGGGUAUAAUGGUGGUUUAUAACCCU